CAGGAAUGUUCUGUAACUUGGUCCCUCUGCUUCAGGAAUGUUCUGUAACUCCACCCCUGAUUCAGUGAUCAUGCUCACAUACCCUGUGGGUCCCUAUCUAAGGAGGCUUUCAUUUCUGGUUGAGCGCCCAGACUCCUCUGAGCCCACUUGGGGCUCGCUGAUGUAAUAAAGGUUUUUCUCCACCUCUUCAACUGACCAUCAGAUUCCUGAGUCUUCAGAUUAUGAGAGUGAUAUUCCAGAGCCACCACACUGAGCCAUAAAGCUCAGCGGUGCCUUCUGAGCUGUGACACUUGGCUAUAGCACUGAGUUGCUCUGCUCUGACGCAAUAGAUGACACUAUGUAAUGCUGGAUGCCCACAGUUGACAUAGCCAGCUGCUGGUCACUCUUGCUGACAGCCACCACCAUCCAAUGCCAGCUUGUGCUGGACACCGUAGGUUGACUCUGCUGGGAAAUGUUCUCUGCCACUGGUCUUUGUUGACUGCUCAUCUCUGGAGCUUUUUGGUGUUAUUUGCUCUGUCUGCAUUGCUCAGAAUAAAAGUGCCAAGUAGAUUUGUUGCCAGGUAGUUCUUCUAGAAAUGGUUCACACACACACACACACACACACACAAUCCAGGUCCUUCUUGCCUUGAACAAAGAAUUGGAUGAGAGAAGCCAAAAUGGUGCCAAAAGUUUAUUUGAAAAAUGAGGGGUGAAGGGAUAAGGGAAAAACUAUCUCUGCAGAGCAAACUUGGGCUAAACAAGAGAAGAAAAGAAAAAAAGAACAGAAAUAAAAGUACAUCUGGUGGGCCACUGUGAGGAGUCACCAUAGCAAGCUCCUUCUGGAAUCUGGUCUUCUCUAUGCUGACAAGAAGUUCUGGGCCAGGGAUUUCUAAAAAUGGGGUCCUGAGAAUCGUCCCAGUCCUGGGACCUUGAAAUUAACAGGUCCCUGCCCACUUUUCCAGCCAACUUUGCCACACCCUACCUGCUAUGUCAGAUUUACAGGACUUUUGGAACCCAGACUACCUGAGAAAUAAAGCACGAGCAGGUUCACAGGAGCACCAAAGUCGGAAGGAGGGUGGAGAAAGAGCCUUGAAGCCCCCAGUUGUGAGCCUGCCUGGCCAAAGAUCCAGAGGAUCGUGCUAAACCUGCUGCUGCUGGGCCUCAGGAUAGAUGUGCAACACAUUCCUGAACACACACGGGCUGUUGCUGUGACAAACUCUCCCAGUUCUGCUUGUUUUGUACACAUCACCAGAGAGUUCUAUGGAUCUACAAAUGAGAAUGGAAGCACAGGGUGCGCGGGCUCCGCGGUUCUUCCUGUGCAUUUAGCGCCGUCCCACGGAAACGCAACCCUCCGGCUCGACCGGAACAGCACUUUUCUGUCGCUCAUCUGAUGAUGUUCCAUUGUAUCUCAAACACAGAUUCGUCCCCAUCAGACCAGUGCAGGCCGGCUCUGGUUCAUUUUGAUGUCACCUCCUCAUUUCCUACGACCAUAAACUUCCUUCCUGACAAACAAGAUGUUCUAGUCUCCUCCUUAUGUGGGCUCGAGUGAAGCCAGUCCACAAACUGUGACUUAAACGUUUCCACACGCAGUCCAGGGGCAUUUAGUUCAUUCACAGUGUUGCGCAAACACCGCUUCCCUCUCCAGAAAUACUUUCAUCAUCCUAAAGGGAAAACUCCCGUGGUCUCACAGUUUUGCCAACUAGAAACCAGCCUCCCCUUCCCACUCACAGGGCCUGCCAAAGGAGGGCUCCCUCAGGGUGUGGGCUUAUCCAGGGCGAGGUCCCCUGGAAGCCCUGCCCUGCAACCGGUCACGUGGGCCAGCUUGCUGCUGGCUACUUGUACCAACACACUGACUCCAGCUGGGACGGGCUCUGGGGAAGCUGAGUCAGGACUCUCUCUUUCCCAAGGCCUGCUGUAGAUAAGCGACCCCU
Long non-coding RNA from Heterocephalus glaber (naked mole-rat), 1910 nucleotides. Lineage: Eukaryota; Metazoa; Chordata; Mammalia; Rodentia; Bathyergidae. The record is from Ensembl.